This 4057-nucleotide long non-coding RNA is filed under the name Marmota monax (woodchuck). The record is from RNAcentral. Lineage: Eukaryota; Metazoa; Chordata; Mammalia; Rodentia; Sciuridae.
CCUGUCCAGGAAUGGGCCCCUACCUUGUUCUUCCCAGCCAUGCCCAUGCUGUGCUCCUCCUCCUGAACCAUGCUCCUUUGCAGUGGCCAGGCUUUCAGCAACCACAGGGCCUUUCCCAGGCUGUUUUGACUACUGAAUCUCUCACCUUCCUCCCCUCAUAUCAUAUUCCCUGUUCUGGGGGCAAUGAAUGUACCUUAUGAUAGACCCUCUGAGUCCUCAUCAUGGUUGUAAUUUGAUAUUUAUGGCUGACUGAUGAUUUGAAUAAAUACUUGCAUCUUCCCCAGUAGACUGGACAUGGUAGGAGGGCAGGGUCCCUGUGUUUUAACUCACUGUUGGGAGAGGUAGUCUGCCUGCAUCUUGAGCAUCCUUGCACCUUGUUGCUGGCUAUGUGGACAAUUGUUGGCCCUGACUACUCUUCCCAGGCUGUUUCCCAGCAGAUAUUAUGUUGAUCAUAGAUAUCUUGAGGUCUGAACUAUCAUCUUCCUCCAGGAGAGACAGCAGACUUGCUUGCUGCUUUCUGUAACAUAUCAGGGUCCCCAUGCUCAGUGUUCUUCUGCAAAGCCACUAUAUAUGUGUGUGUGGCAUCCACCUGGACCCCACCAUACUAUCCCUGUGGGAAUAAGGAACAUGGAAAAUGUGCAGACCUGCCGGUGCUCAUGCUGUCUAUUGUCCUGUCACAGUUCUACGCCUCUGUCUGUGUCAGCAUCCAUGAACCAAUAACAGUCUAACUUAACUAACUUGUAAACAGGUUAAAAAGUUCCAGACAUAACCCUAGCCAUUAUUCUCCUAACAGCACACACUAUCUGGCAGAAAGUAGAUAUUCAGUAUUUAUGUGUAAGAUGAAUACAUGGAUAGAUGGACUUUCUCAACUCAUACUUAAGACAUUGCAGGGAUCAAACCUUUCCAGAAAUGCCAACCACAUUCUGGAAUCCUUCUGAGAUUGCACAGAUGACAGUUGAGGGGGGGACACAAAGAUUUGUCCUUAAGUCUCUGCAUUUAUGUGCCUAAUUAGAACUUUUUUGUUCAACCAGCCCUUAUUCUGAUACGUAAAGUAUUUAAAGGGGUAAGCUCAUCAGAUAGCUGUACUUCCUGAAUUACUUGACUUGGUCUAAUGUUCUAAUGUCGAGCUGAACUUGGUGGUGAUGUUUGGGGAGGGCUGAUGAAGGAGGUUGGCAGCCUGGGGCAGGCAGAAGCUUGGGUUCUAUUGCAAAAGGGGAAUUCUAGACAUAUCUGGGUGUCUUGAAGGGGGCUGGAGAGUAGGGGAUCCAGGAAGUGAGAAAGAGAAGUGGGACAGCAGCAAAGGCAAAUGUGGCCUCAAGUCCUGCCCACUGGCUGGUGGCAGGAGUUAGGGACACAUCUCGAAAAUUCUUCUCUGAGGCUGCAUGGGCUAGAGUGCUUCAGAUGACAGCUGUCCAGAGGGAUUGUUCCCCUUUUGCAAACAGCAUUUUUUUUUACGACAUAAGCAAAGUUUUUGCACUUAGAUUACAGCUACCUUCAGGACAGAUAAAAGAAGGAAAAGAAAGCAAGAGAAUGUAAAAUUUAAAGCCAUUAAGGCUUAUUAAAUUAAAAGUUGAAUAAUGUAUGGAAAGGCAGAUAGCUCUUUGGGAUUCUUGGAGAUGGUAGGAUAAGAAGAACCUUCAGGUUUGGACUGGAUCAAGUGUUCUCACCAAGGAGAUACCACCCCUGAAGAGGCAGAAAUGGGUUCUUAAGAGACAAAAAAGAACUUAGAUGUUCCAUGGUUGUGGCCCUUUGGAGGAUAAAGAGAUAUACAAUGUUUCUAUGUAUUAAAAUGUACUGGAGGAGGGGGAUUAGAAAAGUAUCUUUAAUAGUCUUUGCGGGGGUGAUAAGGAAAAAGUUGAAAACACUUGACUUCCUGAAUCAAAUGGAAGGCUUUUGUUGACCACCAGUGGGUCCUUCUGGAAAAUGAAACAAGUGCGUUAUUUCAGCAGAAGGAAAAAGAUCCCCCCUCCCCUACUUCUCUUUCCAAUACUGAGAUUUGAACCCAGGGAUGUUUUAGCCUGAGUUACAUCCCCAGGCCUUUUUAUUUUCAGUCUCACUCCGGUGCUGAGGCUAGCUUUGAAUUUGUGAUCCUCCUGCCUCAGCCUUCUCCUGAGUCUCUGGGAUUACAGGCACAUGCCACCAUGUCCUGUGUGGAAAAAGAUCUUACACAUCACCUAGAGGACAUUGUGUUGGAAAUCUAAAUGCAGCAGUGGGCAACUGGGAUGCUCCACAUGGUUGCUCAGUAGGUGAUAAGCUUGCUGACCCCAUAAAACUUCACUGUGCCCAGACUGCCAGGCUGAUGGCCUCACACACACUGGAAGCCCCCUAGACACAGCAAGAGGAAGACUUGAUAUAGAAGUCAAGAUUCUAGAAAUUAACCCACCUACUUCCUACCCUCCCAUUUGUUCUGUUUCUCUUCUGCCUGUCCUCUCCAGCUCUGGUUUUUGCUACAGGCAGGAAAAUCAGUAGCAAUGUUCAUGAGUGAGUAAGAAGAAUGCCAGAAAGAGAGCCGUGUCCUGAUAGGAAAGAAAGAACCUUCAGCCAAAUCAUUUCAGUGUGGAAAGCCAGAUCAUCUACUCUACUCUCUGUGAAAUCAAAUCAUAAUGCAAACCAAGCUUUUGGUUUUCCUAAUCCAUGCUGCUUUAUCCAUGUUCACCUAGAUGCGUGGUUCCCUUACAAAACAAAAGUGAAGACAGUUUCAAAAGUGGGCAAUGUAUUGUUCUAAUCCCUUAGGUAGGUAUUCAACCUUGAAUAUGGCUUCUGGUCUCUGGGCUUAAAAGUCUGGACUUUGCCAUUUGAAACGGUGAUGUCGUCUUGGUGCUCUUAGGGUUAUGAAAGAUGGUCCACUAUAUCUCCUCUUAUCGCCAGCCUUAUCCUAAUUCCCAUUAAGGCAAUGCUGGAAAGAAAAAAAAUUUAAUUGGGUAACAAGAAUUUCCACUUUGGAAGCCAUAACUACAUAUAGGUACUGUUUUUAAGAGCUUUGUAUUAAUUUUUUUUAGUACCAGGGACUGAGUACUACCACUGAGCUACAUCCCUGGCCUUUCUUAUUUAUAUUUAUUAUUAUUUAUAUUAUAUUUUAUUUUGAAACAGGGUCUCACUAUGUUGCCCAGGCUGGCCUCAAACUUGUGUUCCUCCUGCUUCAGUCUCCCAAACAGCUGGAAUUACAGGUGUAUGCUACUAUGCCUGGAUUAAUUAAUUCAUUUAUUCAUAAACAACCCUACAAGGGGAACACUAUUUUAUCAACCCUAUGAUACAGAGAGGGAAUUCGGGUACAGAAAAGGUGAGUCAUUUGUCCAAGGUCACACUGCUACUAGUAGCAUUAGGAUUUGAACCCAAACCUUUGGUCCCUGGAGAACUUGCCAAAUGCUCAUUUAAUGUAUCCUUGGCCAACUCUCUGCACUUGUGGACAUCUUUGAAUUCAUGGAUGAAUGGGCUUAAGAUAAUAUUGCUCUUAGCACAAUGUACUUGGGUUUGAGUCUUAAUUAAAUAUAAUAAUGUGCCAGGCCCCAUGCACUGUUGACUCUUUGGGCCACUUUUAUAUAAUGAAUGAAUUAAUGGAGCAUGCUGCCCUCUUGUGAUGAAAAUCACCCCCAUGUGUCACCCCCAUGUGACCUGUAGCUUUCUUGAAUGCACAUACUUCCUUCCUUUGGUCCAGUCUUGUGGCUGGGGAUUGGGGAUGUGCGACUAUACAUGAAGCUGUUGACUCUGUAGAGUCAAAACUCUUAACCUGCCAUUCUCCAGGAUGCUCCUAACCUAGGACUGUCAGUGAGGUUCACAGAUAUGACAGAGUCCUGUUGCUUUUAACAUCAUCAACAUAGGAGAAAAAUAAGAGGUUUUUUUCUGUGGAAAUGCCAGGAACACAAAAAAGACCUCAUAUCAUUUUGCUUGGCCUAGAUUGGAACCACGUUUAACAGACUUGGCAGAAAGACGAUCAGUUGCAAAGUGAACUGAAGGUUGCAAAUCUAUCAGAACAGAGGCACAAUAAAACCAGCCAGAAGGCACGUGUUUGUGUUCCAGCUCCACCAGGAAUAAGUGUCUGACCUUGGGCGAGUUGCUU